This is a long non-coding RNA of Micropterus dolomieu (smallmouth bass), 672 nucleotides long. RefSeq lists it as uncharacterized. Lineage: Eukaryota; Metazoa; Chordata; Actinopteri; Centrarchiformes; Centrarchidae. The record is from RefSeq and is a predicted model, not a curated record. The transcript is spliced from 4 exons.
UGAAAAUCAUUAAGGACAACAGGAGGGAAGGAGUCGUGUUUAAGAUUCCUUGGAAACAAACACACAUAAAACCAAUGACUGAUCACAUCCUUCACAAAUGUCAACCCACAGCAGUUAAGACGUUUUAAUAUUGAGAUUGUGUCUGAGCUGUCAUAUGACUAACUGAGGAAAAGGAGGUUCAGACCAGCGCAGUCACAAGUGUGGUCUCAUCUUCAUUUACCACAUGUAGAUGUCUCAAACCAGCACACCAAAAAUUCAGGUGGACGUGCGUGCGCAGGUGAGUGUGAAGCACUUGGACGCUCUGAGAGGACGCAUGGCUAAUUUGUGUCGGCCUCGCGCCAGCUGGGUCCACUUCCCAGCUCCGCCUCACGCCAGGUUUCCCCUUUCAUGUCGGCUGUCUCUCCCGAUCACAGAGAGAUUAAUAUCAAGUGAUUGGCAGUCAUGUUCUCACUUAGCACUCCAGUCAUGGUGCCCCAGGGUCUCUGCCGGUCGUAAAGCAAUGGUGAAAGUGCCAUUGUGGCUUUCGCUGUCAUUUAGCCAGUACCCAGCCUCAGCAGACAGAGGAUGAAAAGUGCCAACGGCUGCAUUGAAUUAUGAGCCCAACUCAGCCGCGGCCAUAUACACAACCCAGCACAGGGAGCCAUUUCCUGCUGAAAUGCCUCUUGCUGCAGA